CAAGUCGAACGCGAAAGUUCCCUUCGGGGAGCGAGUAGAGUGGCGCACGGGUGAGUAACACGUAGGUAAUCUACCUUUGGAUUGGGAAUAACCACCGGAAACGGUGGCUAAUACCGAAUAAUGCAGCGGCACCUAAUGGUGACAGUUGUUAAAGCGGGGGAUCGCAAGACCUCGCGUCUGAAGAGGAGCCUGCGGCAGAUUAGCUAGUUGGUAAGGUAACGGCUUACCAAGGCGAUGAUCUGUAGCCGGCCUGAGAGGGCGGUCGGCCACACUGACACUGACAUACGGGUCAGACUCCUACGGGAGGCAGCAGUCGGGAAUUUUGGGCAAUGGGCGAAAGCCUGACCCAGCAACGCCGCGUGAAGGAUGAAAUCCUUCGGGAUGUAAACUUCGCAAGAACGGGAAGAAUAAGUAAGGGUUAAUAUCUCUUACGAUGACGGUACUGUUUGUAAGCUCCGGCUAACUCCGUGCCAGCAGCCGCGGUAAUACGGGGGGAGCAAGCGUUGUUCGGAUUUACUGGGCGUAGAGGGCGCGUAGGCGGCCACCGCAAGUCAAUUGUGAAAUCUCCGGGCUCAACCCGGAACGGUCAACUGAUACUGCGGGGCUAGAGUGCAGAAGGGGCAACUGGAAUUCUCGGUGUAGCGGUGAAAUGCGUAGAUAUCGAGAGGAACACCUGCGGCGAAGGCGGGUUGCUGGGCUGACACUGACGCUGACAGCGCGAAAGCUAGGGGAGCGAACGGGAUUAGAUACCCCGG
This 755-nucleotide ribosomal RNA is filed under the name uncultured Actinomycetes bacterium. RNAcentral's name for it is "bacterial SSU rRNA". It matches the Rfam family "Bacterial small subunit ribosomal RNA", at positions 58 to 790 of the family's 1533-position model. The record is from RNAcentral. Lineage: Bacteria; Bacillati; Actinomycetota; Actinomycetes.